CGGGACGGGUGAGUAAUGUCUGGGAAACUGCCUGAUGGAGGGGGGUAACUACUGGAAACGGUAGCUAAUACCGCAUAACGUCGCAAGACCAAAGAGGGGGACCUUCGGGCCUCUUGCCAUCGGAUGUGCCCAGAUGGGAUUAGCUAGUAGGUGGGGUAACGGCUCACCUAGGCAACGAUCCCUAGCUGGUCUGAGAGGAUGACCAGCCACACUGGAACUGAGACACGGUCCAG
Molecule: ribosomal RNA, 233 nt
Filed under: uncultured bacterium
Lineage: Bacteria
Description: partial 16S ribosomal RNA
Rfam family: Bacterial small subunit ribosomal RNA
Source: RNAcentral